RNAcentral lists this long non-coding RNA (6538 nucleotides) under Sus scrofa (pig). RNAcentral's name for it is "lncRNA (ENSSSCG00065019523.1)". The record is from RNAcentral. Lineage: Eukaryota; Metazoa; Chordata; Mammalia; Artiodactyla; Suidae.
GGGGGAUAGCACCACCUGGGAGCCUGUGGAGAGGGUCUCCAGUGGGCGAGGUGGUGAAAGUGAGAUGGAGAUGGGUGGGAAAACGUUUGUCUAGGAACUGGGGUGCCGAGAGAAAGCAAGGGAAGGAGCUGGGAGGCAGGAGGUAAGAAGAGGGGCUGGGGGGUCCGCAAAGUGUUGCCAGAGCGUUCAGAGUUGGGCAGCUGUCUGGGGCUGGAGGCGCAGACUGGAUUGAGGGGAACAGCUCCCUUCAUGUAGGGGCUGCUGGUGGGCACAGUAGCCUACGACGGGGAGUGAGCACAGUGAGGAGGUGAGGAAGACGGGGGUCUCGAGUGCCUCUCCCCCACUAAAGCCAUUGAUGCCAGGAGGAGCCCGGGACAAUCUGAUUCCGGGCAGGGCGCUACUCCUGCCGGCUGGAGCGCUCUGGAAGGCGGGCAAGUUGGUUCCAAGGACGCACAGCCCUCAACAUCCUUUAGCCCACCGCUGGAUAGAGCAAGGCAGCAGCGGACACUUUUUUUCCUAACUCUGUUCAAGGGACUUUGGGCUAAGAGAGCAACAUCUCGCCGUGUCCCGAGACUGAGACUGCAAGGUGGUCGUGGACCGUCCAGGUUACCAACACUGUUUACUCAGCAAAAGAAAUAAAGGCAACAGCAACCAAAUAGGACGGGAAGAAAGCCAGACAACAACACAGAACACUUUCCGGGGCAGUCCGAGUUUCUCCUAAGCACUCAGACGACAGAGGUGCCCUGUGAAUGGGACGGCAACCUACACCCAUCCGUUCUGUGAUCCCUGCCCUGGAGAGAUUGCACUAGGCAAAAGGUUUCCAUGCAUGGGAGAGACUUCUUUUUAGACUCCAGUGCUGACCUAUCUCUGACCUGACUGGCUCCUGAGAUCUCUUCAGUGAAAAAUGACGAGAAGCCCAAAGAGAUGUAUUUGCGUCGCAUGACUGUCUAUCCAGUGAGUCUGACUAUUCUGACAAUUCUUCCUUAACAAGAAUAUGGGUGUAUUUCAUCCCUUGGAAUAUUUUAUAUUAUCACCUGGAUUUUGGAACUUUCUAUCUCUUUGGUUUUAUGAAGGUAUAAAUAGAUCAACAUUUAAGCUCAUUUAACCUUUUCCAAAGCAAAAAGGCUCCAAGUGCUUUACUGUUGCAUUGGACAAGUCAGAAGCUAUAAUAGAGGUGCAAGAACUUCUACUUAUAUGAGGAACUAGAGACUGUAGGUGUAACUCAGCCAUGGUGUUACUCUGUGCUUGCGUAAUUUUAGCACUUAAUUCUGAUUAAGGGCUUUUGGGAAGCAGUAAUGUGAAGUGCUGAACGGUACCUUUCUUUGCUUAGGGUUUUGAGUUUUUGCUUGUGGAGUAGUUUUUAUGAAAUUUGGGGGCAUAUGAGAUUAUCUUGUGAAAACUGAUGGCCAUUACUUUCCUUCAGUUUUAUUACUCACUGUGUGUAUAUGUAGCUAAUCCUUAGGUAUUCUUAUUUAUAUCAGGGGAAUGAUAAUGGCAUCCAUGGUCAGCAGCUGUUUCUUGCCACAGGCGAAGUGGGCAUAUUAGAUAUUACUAAUAUCUUACUGCAUAAACCAAAAAAAACCUGUAAGAUAUUUGUGCCUAGAGAUCAAGAGUACAAAUUAAGAAGCUUGGCACCUGUUUAAAGACUGCACAUCUUUGUAUCCAUUUUAAUGUAAUUGGAGAUUUGUUUCUUCUUUGAGAAUACACUCUCUCUUCUUUUGGCAAAUGUCUCUCUCUCUCUCUCUUUUUCUUUUUUUUUUUAUCAGUAGCAUAUGUCUGACUCCUGGUUCAUUCAGAAACACAAGGAAUAUGGCAUAAUAAUGUUUGUAAAUUUAAACUAACAAAGCAGUCUUUCUGCUUUUGAGUCAAAUGAAAAAUUUUGAGUAGAGAAUAUUGACUUACCUCUCAUCAAAAUUCAACAGAAAAAAAAAAUGUUUGCUUCAGUAGCAAACAGAGAACAUGUGUAGAAUCAGUGAAAAUAAGUAAAGUGGCUGAGGUGACAAAGUUUAUCUACAUGUGGGAACCUUUCAUGGUUUGGCAGCAAUUCAGGUGAACAGCAAUCUUGGGAUUCCUUUGUAAGAAUUAUCCUUCCAGUGACUGAUUCUGAUACUGUAUAAGUUCACAUAAGUUUUUAAAAUGGUUGAUAUCAACAAAGAAGCUUGCUAGAAUUUCAUUAGGGUUAUCUUACAGCUCUAGAUCAAAUUGGGAAUAAUUGACGUCUUAACCAUUUUGAUUUUUCCAAUCUGUGAACAUUUAUUCUGCAUUUAUUUUGAUAUUCUUUGAUUUCUCUUAGCAGUAUUUCAUAGUUCUUCUGCAUAGAGGUCCUAUAUAUUCUUUGUUAGAUUUAUACAUAAUUCAUUUUUUUAUUGUUUAGAUAUAAUGGAAAAAAAUAAAAAUCAUUAUAGUAAAAAAAGUAAACAUGGGAGAAAUAUAGACAAAUAUUUACUGAUUAAAUCAAUAGCAAUAAAAAUAUAUAAACAUAAUUCAUUUUUUGAUGGUGCUUCACAUGUUUAAUUUUUUUGCUUUCUAUUACAGUUACUAAUAUUAGUAUAUAGGAUAUCAACAAACUUUGUAUGCUGACCUUGUUUUCCUGAGUCUUUGCUUUAAUUCACUUGUUAGUUCCAGGAGGUUUUCAUAGAUUCUGGGGUUUUCCACAUAGACAAUCAUGUUAUCUGCCAACAAAGAGAGUUCUAUGUCUUCCUUUGUAGUAUGUGCUUACUUUACUGAAGUAGCUAGGACUUAUAGUACAAUGCUGAACAUGAGAAGUGAGAAAGAAUACCCAUGACUUGGGACUGAUAUUGAAGGUAAAGCAUUCAGUCUCUUGGCAGUAAGUAUGACGUUAGCUAUAGAUUCUCUGCAUAUAUCCUUUGUAAGGUUAACAAGGUUACACUCCAAGUUUUGGGGAGUUUUGAUCAUGAAUGGAUUUUGAAGUUUGUGAAAUAAUUUUUUUUUAUACUUAUUAAUAUGAUUAUACAGUGUUUCUUUUUCAGCUUGCUAAUAUGAUAAAUUACAUUGAUUGAUUUGUUUGUGAAUAUUAAACUAGCAUUGAAUUCCUAGGAUGAAUCCCUUUUAGGCAUGAUAUAUUAUCCCAUUUAUAUAUCACUGAGUUUUAUUUCACAUAUUUUGUUAGGAAUCUUUACUUCUAAGUUCAUGAGUGAUCUUGGUCUUCAGUUUUCUUUUGUUGUAAUGUUUUUAAUCUGAUUUUGAUAUUAGUGGGACUGUGACUUCAUAAAAUGAAUUGUAAAUAUUCCCUUCUUUUCUAUUUUUUGAAAGAGGUUGUGUAGAAUUGGUACUGCAUUUUCCUUAAAUAUUUGGAUAAAUUCAUCAGUGAAACCAUCUGGGUUUGGUAUUUUUUCCUUUCUCAUUUUGUGGAGGGUUUUAAAGUAAUAAUUUAAUUUCCUUAAUGCAUAUAGUGCUAUUCAGAUUAUCUCUUUCUCCUGGAGUGGAUUUUGGCUAGUUUGUGUCUUUUAAAGAAUUGUUUCACUUCAUCUAAAUUUUUGAAUUUAUUCUCAUAGACUUCUUUUCUUUUUUUGUCUUUCUGUCUUUUCUAGGGCUGCACCUGCUGCAUGUGGAGGUUCCCAGGCUAGGGGUCUAAUCGGAGCUGUAGCCACUGGCCUACACCAGAGCCAUAGCAAUGUGGAAUCUGAGCCGCGUCUGCAACCUAUACCACAGCUCACGGUAACACUGUAUCCUUAACCCACUAAGCGAGUCCAGGGAUCAAACCCUCAAUCUCAUGGUUCCUAGUCGGAUUCAUUAACCACUGAGCCAUAAUGGGAACUCCUCAUAGACUUGUUCUUAACCUUACUUUAUCAUUUAAUGUAUGUGGGAUAAGUAGUGAUAGACCCUCUUUCAUUUUUUAUAUUGGUAAUUUUUGUCUUUCCCUUUUUUCCUUAGCCUAGAUAGAAAUUUGUCAGUUUUAUUGAUCUUGGUAAAUAACCAGAUGUUGUUUUCAUUGAUUUUAUCUAUUGUUUUCCUGUUUUUAAUUUAAUUAAUUUUGGCUCUCAUUUUUAUUAUUUCCAUUCUUCUGCUUGUUCUGGGUUUAAUUUUCACUUCCUUUUCUGGUUUCUUAAGAAGGAAGCCUAGGAUAUUGAUUGAUUGGUAAGUCCUUCUUGUUUUAAAAAUAUGUUCAUUUUAUACUUUAUAGCUGUCCUCUCAGCACUGCUUUAGCUACAUCCUACAAUGUUUGAUGUUAUAUUUGCAUUAUAAUUAAAUGCAAAAUAUUUACAAAUUUUCCUUGAUUUUCUUUUUAACCCAUUGGUUAUUUAGAGAUGUAUUGUUUAUUUUUCAAAUAUUUGAGCAUUUUGUAGUUUUGUUAGUGGCAUUUGGUUUAAUUCCAUUAUGGUAUCAGAACAUACUUCACAUGAUUUAUAUUCUGUUAUAUUAUUUAAGAUUUAUUUUAUUAAUCAUAUUAUAGUCCAUCUCAGUGACUAUUUAACACCCACUUGAGAAAAAUGUAUGUUUUAAUAUUGGUGUUCUUUAAAUGUGCAUAAUGCCAAGUUGGUUAAUAGCACUGUUCAAGGUUGUAUUUGUCCUUCCUGAAUUUUUGCCUAUUUGUCUGUGGUGAUGAAGUCUCCAGCUGUAAAAGUAUAUUUAUCUAUUUCUGUACUUAAUUCUACUAGUGCUUGUCUCAUGCAUUUUGAUACUCUACUGUUAGGUGCAUACUCAGAAUUGUUAUGUCUUCUUGGAGAAUUGACCCCUAUGUUAUUAUGUAAUAUCCUUUUUCUUCCUGAAUAUUUUCCUUAUUCUGAUGCUGGCCUGUAUAUCUACCUCAGCUUUCUUUCAUUUGUGUUUGCGUGGUAUAACUUCCUGUGCCCUUUACUUUAAAGGUUUUUUAUUGAAGUAAAUUUUCUACAGCAUAAACUCUGCAACUUUAAAGUGUCCUGUAGAGUGGUUUUUGAUAUAUUCACAAUGUUGUGUCACCAUCAGUAUUAUCUGAUUCCAGAAUAUUUCCAUUACCCCAAAAUAACUGCCAGGUCUGUUAGCAAUCAAUUUCAAAUCCCACCACCUUCCAACUCUUGGAAACUAACCUAGUUUAAGUUUCUAUGGUUUUGCCAAUUCUAGACAUAUCAUAUGAGAUGUAGCAUUUUGUUUCUUCUUUUUCUUUCUUUCUUUUUUUUUUUUUUUUUUGGCUACACCUGUGGCAUGUGAAAUUUCCUGGGCCAGGGAUCGAACCCGAGCCAUAGCAGUGACCCAGGCUGCUUCAGUGACAACUCUGGAUUUUUUGCCACUAUGCCACCAGGGAAUUUCCCCUUACUGUUUUCAUUUACCAUAAGGUUUGUAGGGUUUUCCACUGCAGCAUGUAUCAGAGCUUCAUUGCUUUUUAUGUCUGAUUAAUAUUGCAUUGUAUGGUUUUAUCAUGGGUUGCUCUUCAUCCACUCCUUAGUUGGGCAUUUGGAUUGUUUCAGUUUUUAGGCUGUUAUGAAUUUUUGUGAACAGGUUUUUUUUUGGUGAAAAUGUUUUUUCAAUGUCUUGGAUAUAUAUCUAGGAGUGGAAUUUUUGUGUGAUACGGUAAUUCUGUGUUUAACUUUUUGAGGAAAUACCUAACUACUUUCUACAGUGGCCCCAUUCCUUUAUUUUAAUCCAUAUAACUUUUUAUAUUUAUAUUGGGUUUAUUGUAGACAGUAUGGACUCAAGUAAUGUUUUUUAUCCAAUCUGAAAAAUCUGUUUUAACAAAAUGUAUUUAGAUUAUUCACAUUUAAAGUGAUUAGUGAUAAUUAAAUUAAAAUCUGCUGUCUUGCUAUUUUCUAUUAGUUGUGUUUUUGUUUUCUUCUUUUUCUAACUUCUCUCAUUUCACUUGAGCAUUUUUUGUGAUUCCAUUUUAUCUCAUAUAUUGACUUAUUCACACUUCAUUUUAAAACUUUUAAAAUGCUUUGUAAAUAUAAACCCUAGAAUUUACAAUAUACAUAAAUAAUCCAAAUCCUCAUUCAAAUAGUAUUAUACCUUUUCGUAUGUAGAAAAAUUAACUUAGAAUAUUCCCAGCCAAUCUCCAUUUUCAAUAAAAGUAAACUUUUCCUAGCAUUUACCAAGAUCAUCGUCUGACAAAACCACAAUGAAAUAAAUAUAAGCUUAUAUAAAAUAUUUUACAAAACUACUUCUUUUUUUUUUUUUUUUUUUUUUUUUUUGUCUUUUGUCUUUUGCUGUUGUUGCUAUUUCUUGGGCCGCUCCCGCGGCAUAUGGAGGUUCCCAGGCUAGGGGUUGAAUCGGAGCUGUAGCCACCGGCCUACGCCAGAGCAACGAGGGAUCCGAGCCGCAUCUGCAACCUACACCACAGCUCACGGCAACGCCGGAUCGUUAACCCACUGAGCAAGGACAGGGACCGAACCCCGCAACCUCAUGGUUCCUAGUCGGAUUCGUUAACCACUGCGCCACGACGGGAACUCCUACAAAACUACUUCUUCAAUUAAGUGGCUAAUUUAAUAUAAGUCUCUACUCAGUUUGGGAGUUCCUUCGUGGCUCUGUGGUUUGAGGAUCUGGUGCAGGUUCCAUCCCUGGCCUGGGAACUUCUGCAUACCAUUGGUGUAGCCAAAAAAAAAAAAAA